GAGUAACACGUGACUAACCUACCCUCGAGUGGGGAAUAACUCCGGGAAACCGGGGCUAAUACCGCAUAACAUCGCAAGAUCAAAGCAGCAAUGCGCUUGAGGAGGGGGUCGCGGCUGAUUAGCUAGUUGGCGGGGUAACGGCCCACCAAGGCGAAGAUCGGUAUCCGGCCUGAGAGGGCGCACGGACACACUGGAACUGAAACACGGUCCAGACUCCUACGGGAGGCAGCAGUGGGGAAUUUUGCGCAAUGGGGGAAACCCUGACGCAGCAACGCCGCGUGGAGGAUGAAGCCCUUUGGGGCGUAAACUCCUUUCGACUCGGACGAUAAUGACGGUACGAGUGGAAGAAGCACCGGCUAACUCUGUGCCAGCAGCCGCGGUAAUACAGAGGGUGCGAGCGUUGUUCGGAAUUAUUGGGCGUAAAGGGCGCGUAGGCGGUGCGGUAAGUCACCUGUGAAAUCUCCUGGCUUAACUGGGAGCCUGCAGGCGAAACUACCGUGCUGGAGUGUGGGAGAGGUGCGUGGAAUUCCCGGUGUAGCGGUGAAAUGC
This 549-nucleotide ribosomal RNA is filed under the name uncultured bacterium. Its description in RNAcentral is "bacterial SSU rRNA". It matches the Rfam family "Bacterial small subunit ribosomal RNA", at positions 108 to 689 of the family's 1533-position model. The record is from RNAcentral.